Molecule: long non-coding RNA, 980 nt
Organism: Piliocolobus tephrosceles (Ugandan red Colobus)
Lineage: Eukaryota; Metazoa; Chordata; Mammalia; Primates; Cercopithecidae
Exons: 3
Source: RefSeq, a predicted model, not a curated record
GAAAUUGAAACUGAAAAUGUGAACCAGCGACUUUACCCAGAAGCACAGUUGUUGGCAUCAAUGAGAUUAUUUUUUAAUGAAAUUAAAGAAAGUAGAGGUUUCCUUUCAACUGACACUGUUUUUCUCCAGACUCUACUGUGCGGCAGGAUGGUAGUUGUUUCCUCUCAAGGGAGCUAAAAAUUAACUUCAUCCUAUGGCAUGAUGUAUUAAAAUCAGCAGUGUUCAUGGUAACUUUCUCUUUCACCUCUCCAACAGAUAAUUUCUCUUAAGAUCCAACCCAAGCUAUUCUCUGUACACAAGCUAGAAUCAGCCAAAAACAUAUAAGGAGACUCCGCCAGGAGUGGGGAGUUCUUGAGAAAGCUUUUGCUUCUGAAAAAAAGAUAAAAGUACACAGGAGAGCUCUCUGGUGCCAUUCCUUGAGCAUGUGAGAGACUGUGUCACUGGGAGCAGCAGUUAUCUGUGGCCAUAAGUUGAGAUGACUGGAUGAAAUGCUAAAAUGUUGAGAAGACAACACAUAGGAGUGAAUGAGACAGAAAGCGAGACCAUGAGGAUGAUUAAGAAGAGCAAGUACAACAUGGCUGAGACUAAGUGUCCAGGGAGUUGAGAAUAAGUGGCCUAUUGUCAUGUCCUAUAUAAGUAGAGUAUGUGGAUGGGAGGCCAAGAACACACCAACAAAUAAAAUGUUGAAUACAUCAGUCAAGGGCAUAUCGAGAUGAUCAGGAUGCUGGCUCUUGGAAUGUUUAUCUUCCCACCCCACCCCAGAAGAGGACCUUCUUGGCUUGUUCACCACUGUUUCUCAGCCUGGCACACAGCAGGUGCACAAUGAAUAUUCAUUAAAAUCAAUGAUUAACUAAACUGGCUAGUAUUCCAUCUCAUGUUCAUUACUGGAGAACUGAAGAGCCAGCUAGCCUACAAAAACUCAUUCUGGAUUUAGAGGCAAUAAGAAAACAUGCAUUCAAAUAAAAUCAGAGAAUCCUUCU